ACGGGUGAGUAACACGUGGGCAAUCUGCCCUUCACUCUGGGACAAGCCCUGGAAACGGGGUCUAAUACCGGAUAACACUCUGUCCCGCAUGGGACGGGGUUAAAAGCUCCGGCGGUGAAGGAUGAGCCCGCGGCCUAUCAGCUUGUUGGUGGGGUAAUGGCCUACCAAGGCGACGACGGGUAGCCGGCCUGAGAGGGCGACCGGCCACACUGGGACUGAGACACGGCCCAGACUCCUACGGGAGGCAGCAGUGGGGAAUAUUGCACAAUGGGCGAAAGCCUGAUGCAGCGACGCCGCGUGAGGGAUGACGGCCUUCGGGUUGUAAACCUCUUUCAGCAGGGAAGAAGCGAAAGUGACGGUACCUGCAGAAGAAGCACCGGCUAACUACGUGCCAGCAGCCGCGGUAAUACGUAGGGUGCGAGCGUUGUCCGGAAUUAUUGGGCGUAAAGAGCUCGUAGGCGGCUUGUCACGUCGGAUGUGAAAGCUCGGGGCUUAACCCCGAGUCUGCAUUCGAUACGGGCUAGCUAGAGUGUGGUAGGGGAGAUCGGAAUUCCUGGUGUAGCGGUGAAAUGCGCAGAUAUCAGGAGGAACACCGGUGGCGAAGGCGGAUCUCUGGGCCAUUACUGACGCUGAGGAGCGAAAGCGUGGGGAGCGAACAGGAUUAGAUACCCUGGUAGUCCACGCCGUAAACGUUGGGAACUAGGUGUUGGCGACAUUCCACGUCGUCGGUGCCGCAGCUAACGCAUUAAGUUCCCCGCCUGGGGAGUACGGCCGCAAGGCUAAAACUCAAAGGAAUUGACGGG
This 803-nucleotide ribosomal RNA is filed under the name Streptomyces sp. Its description in RNAcentral is "bacterial SSU rRNA". It matches the Rfam family "Bacterial small subunit ribosomal RNA", at positions 102 to 917 of the family's 1533-position model. The record is from RNAcentral. Lineage: Bacteria; Bacillati; Actinomycetota; Actinomycetes; Kitasatosporales; Streptomycetaceae.